RNAcentral lists this ribosomal RNA (608 nucleotides) under uncultured bacterium. RNAcentral describes it as "bacterial SSU rRNA". The stretch from base 1 to 517 matches the Rfam family "Bacterial small subunit ribosomal RNA", at positions 338 to 873 of the family's 1533-position model. The record is from RNAcentral.
CCUACGGGAGGCAGCAGUGGGGAAUAUUGGACAAUGGGGGCAACCCUGAUCCAGCCAUGCCGCGUGAGUGAUGAAGGCCUUCGGGUUGUAAAGCUCUUUUGGCGGGGACGAUGAUGACGGUACCCGCAGAAUAAGCCCCGGCUAACUUCGUGCCAGCAGCCGCGGUAAGACGAAGGGGGCUAGCGUUGUUCGGAAUUACUGGGCGUAAAGCGCGUGUAGGCGGUUUGCCAAGUCGGGUGUGAAAGCCUUGGGCUUAACCCAAGAAAUGCACUCGGUACUGGCAGACUAGAGGACCGGAGAGGAUAGUGGAAUUCCCAGUGUAGUGGUGAAAUACGUAGAGAUUGGGAAGAACACCAGUGGCGAAGGCGGCUAUCUGGACGGUUUCUGACGCUAAGACGCGAAAGCGUGGGGAGCAAACAGGAUUAGAUACCCUGGUAGUCCACGCCGUAAACGAUGGGUGCUAGACGUUGGCGAGCUUGCUCGUCAGUGUCGCAGCUACGUACGUAAGUCACCCGCCGUCGGGAGGUACGGCCGCGAGGUAGAACGUACGAAGUAGAAGUUAGACGGCGUGUAAGACGUGCCGACGGACGACGACGAGGGAGGUUAGG